This 253-nucleotide ribosomal RNA is filed under the name uncultured bacterium. RNAcentral describes it as "partial 16S ribosomal RNA". It matches the Rfam family "Bacterial small subunit ribosomal RNA", at positions 524 to 776 of the family's 1533-position model. The record is from RNAcentral.
UACGGGGGGGGCAAGCGUUGUUCGGAAUUACUGGGCGUAAAGGGCUCGUAGGUGGCCAACUAAGUCAGACGUGAAAUCCCUCGGCUUAACCGGGGAACUGCGUCUGAUACUGGAUGGCUUGAGUUUGGGAGAGGGAUGCGGAAUUCCAGGUGUAGCGGUGAAAUGCGCAGAUAUCAGGAGGAACACCGGUGGCGAAGGCGGAUCUCUGGGCCAUAACUGACGCUGAGGAGCGAAAGCAUGGGGAGCGAACAGG